GAGCUGGGAGCCUGUUGGCAGGUCCCUCUUUUUAUUUUCGCUGAGAGCUUUCUUUUACUAAAUGCCACCAUCCUUACCUUUCAAGGUGUCUGCGUGCCUAAUUUUUCCUGGUUGUUAGACAAGAACCCGGAUUUUAGUUGAACUCUGGAGCAAAAAUCCUGCAUCAUUUGUAGGUGGGUGUCAUUGUGACUGGCUGCUACCUCCCCAUGAGUCUUCUAAAAUAAAACCUGCAAAUUCACAUCUUCCCCAUGCUUCCAGAGAAUGCAUAUUCUUCCUUUGAAAAAAGAAAACCAGCACUGUUCAUAAUAGCCAAGAUUUGGAAGCCACCUAAGUGUCCAUCAACAGAUGAAUGGAGAAACUGUGGUACAUAUACACAACGGAGUGCUAUUCAGCCAUAAAAAAGAAUGAUACUCUGUCAUCUGCAACAACAUGAAUGGAACUGGAGAUCAUUAUGUUGUUAAAUAAGCCAGACACAGAAAGACAAACAUCACAUAUUUUCACUUAUUUUGGGGAUAUAAAAGUCAAAACAAACUCAUGGAGAUAGAGAACAGAUAGACGGUUACCAGAGGCUAGGAGGAGGAGUGGUGGGGGGCAGUUAGUGAUGGUUAAUUGGUACAAAAAAAUGGUUAGAAAUAAUAAAUAAGACCUAGUAUUAGAUAGGACAACAGGAGGACUAUAGUCAAAAAUAAUUUAUUUGUACAUUUCAAAGUAACUAAAAGAGUGUAAUUGUAUUAUUUGUAGCACAUAGGAUAAAUGCUUGAGGUGACGGAUACCCCAUUUACCCUGAUGUGAUUAUUACACAUCGUAUGCCUGUACCAAAAGAUCUCAUGUACCUCAUAAAUACAUACACCUACUAUAUACCCACACAAAUUAAAAAUUAAAAAAAUUUAAAGAAAUUACAGUUUGUUGGUUUUGAAUAUUUGACCAAAUUUUUUACUAAGCACAGAUAGAUUGAAUAUAAUUUUAUUGUCCUUUUGACAUUAUGAUAAUGAAGGUAUCUACACAGAAGUCUGAGAUGAGAAAAAAAUGAUAUAAUAUCCACCUACUACAUAGUGGGUAGUUUAUAUACUAAAGUUAUUGUUAUGAGAAAGAAUGGCUUAGGAAUAUUAUUUAAAAUUAAUUAAGGGGUGUUAAAAAUAAAAUACCAAGUGUAAAAAUGACAAAGGCAAGAAGAAACAGUAUAUAAUGUGAGUAAAUCUUAAUCUUUCCAAGAGAGGAGACAGUACAUAAUGUCUAAAAUUGUUAAACCAUGAAAUAGAAAUAUAGUUAUUUUAUUCAUAAUUAAGGAGAUAACUACUAUAGCACGAAAUCGUGCCAAAAAUGGUUGCCUCUGGGAAAUGUGAUUAUAGAUAUUAUAAUAUUUUGGACUGUAAAAAUCUGCUUUUAAGACUGAGGAAAUACAAAUAGGACAAUAUUUAUUUGAAAUUUGUAUCCUCAGGGAGUGUAAAGAAAUUAAUGUAUCCACAAAAUAAUAAUAGCUGCUAUUUGAAAACAUAGUUUUCUUGAAAGUUAAAAUAGUAAUAGUCUUCUAAAAAUUUUGUUAGUUUUGGUUUUCUCUUUAAUCUGAGUUAUGUAGAAAAGUGCUUAUUUCAAAUUAGGUAGGCUUGUUUUAUUCCUUUUUCUGUCUUUUUUCUAUCAACUAGUGUUUUAUUGUGUUCAGAAAAUGCCAUGCAUUAAAAGACUACUUUUGAGAAUUUCUAGAGAUUUUCUUUGUUACUAAAGAGAUUUUUGUAAUUGUUACAUGGGAUUUUAAAAAGAAUGUAAAUUAUCCUUUUUGUCAAGUAUAAUGAUUUCUGAAACCUAGCUGUGUCAGAAUACUGUAUAAUACUGUAAUAGUAUGUUGUUUUUGGCUAUGUGUACUUAUUUCUUAGAGUGGUAUGUUAAAGCCUCGACCUUGUGACUUUGUUUAUUUCUCUCUCUACAUCUAAACAUUUCCAAGACAUGUUAUUUGCAAUACCAAGACCAUAACUAUUAUGUAUUUAAUCAAAAUAAAAUAUUUCGGCUCUCUAU
Molecule: long non-coding RNA, 2010 nt
Filed under: Homo sapiens (human)
Lineage: Eukaryota; Metazoa; Chordata; Mammalia; Primates; Hominidae
Description: non-protein coding lnc-MMRN1-12:26
Source: RNAcentral